GUGGAUUAGGCAUGCAAGUCGAACGUGAUCCGUAGCAAUACGGUGAAAGUGGCGGAAGGGUGAGUAAUGCAUAGAUAACCUACCUCCGAAUCUGGGAUAACUCCGGGAAACUGGAGCUAAUACCGGAUGGGAUAGCUGGGUCGCAUGGUUCGGCUAUUAAAGGUGCCCUCUGAAUAUGGUACCGUUCGGGGAGGGGUCUAUGUCCUAUCAGCUAGUUGGUGAGGGUAAGAGCCCACCAAGGCUGUGACGGGUAGCCGGCCUUAGCGGGUGUCCGGCCACAUUGGGACUGAGACACUGCCCAA
This 302-nucleotide ribosomal RNA is filed under the name uncultured bacterium. RNAcentral's name for it is "bacterial SSU rRNA". It matches the Rfam family "Bacterial small subunit ribosomal RNA", at positions 44 to 334 of the family's 1533-position model. The record is from RNAcentral.